RNAcentral lists this non-coding RNA (594 nucleotides) under Aneurinibacillus migulanus. RNAcentral's name for it is "Bacterial large subunit ribosomal RNA". It matches the Rfam family "Bacterial large subunit ribosomal RNA", at positions 1127 to 1303 of the family's 2925-position model. The record is from Rfam by way of RNAcentral. Lineage: Bacteria; Bacillati; Bacillota; Bacilli; Caryophanales; Paenibacillaceae.
AGAGUGCGUAAUAGCUCACUGGUCGAGUGACUCUGCGCGGAAAAUGUAACGGGGCUAAGCGUACUACCGAAGCUGUGAGUGCUAGAAGUAAGAAAUGAGAUGUAAGAAGUAGGAAGUGAAAAGAUGAUUCGGACAUUCCGAGACUUACGAGUAUAUAAGCAAUCGUAUGAGCUUGGAAAAGAGGUGCAUCGAGUCACACAACAUUUUCCAAAGUAUGAACGUUAUGAAUUAGGAAGCCAACUGAGAAGGGCUUCUCAAUCAAUUCCAUUGAACAUUGCUGAAGGUUAUGGAAGAAAAAAAUCAAAAGCUGAAUUCAAACGUUUUUUACUUAUAGCAAUAGGCUCUUGCAACGAAGUACAGGUUUUAUUGGACUAUGCCUAUGAGUUUCAUUAUUUAUCUUCGGAUGAAUAUAAGCGAUUGCUAACAAAUUAUGAAGGUAUAGGCAAACAAUUAUCUGUGCUACAUAGCAAGUGGAAAUGAACCCUACAUUUUACCUUUGAUUUCUUACUUCUAGCGCGGUAGGGGAGCGUUCCUGCAGCAGUGAAGUCAGACCGGAAGGACUGGUGGAGCGGCAGGAAGUGAGAAUGCCGGUGU